RNAcentral lists this ribosomal RNA (466 nucleotides) under uncultured bacterium. Its description in RNAcentral is "partial 16S ribosomal RNA". It matches the Rfam family "Bacterial small subunit ribosomal RNA", at positions 28 to 507 of the family's 1533-position model. The record is from RNAcentral.
GACGAACGCUGGCGGCGCGCCUAACACAUGCAAGUCGAACGAGCGAGAGGAGGUUUACUUUCUCAAGCGAGUGGCGAACGGGUGAGUAACGCGUGAGGAACCUGCCUCAAAGAGGGGGACAACAGUUGGAAACGACUGCUAACACCGCAUAAGCCCACGACCCGGCAUCGGGUAGAGGGAAAAGGAGCAAUCCGCUUUGAGAUGGCCUCGCGUCCGAUUAGCUAGUUGGUGGGGUAAUGGCCCACCAAGGCGACGAUCGGUAGCCGGACUGAGAGGUUGAACGGCCACAUUGGGACUGAGACACGGCCCAGACUCCUACGGGAGGCAGCAGUGGGGAAUAUUGCACAAUGGGGGAAACCCUGAUGCAGCGACGCCGCGUGGAGGAAGAAGGUCUUCGGAUUGUAAACUCCUGUUGUUGAGGAAGAUAAUGACGGUACUCAACAAGGAAGUGACGGCUAACUACGUG